Molecule: ribosomal RNA, 493 nt
Filed under: uncultured bacterium
Lineage: Bacteria
Description: bacterial SSU rRNA
Rfam family: Bacterial small subunit ribosomal RNA
Source: RNAcentral
GAUGAACGCUAGCGAUAGGCCUAACACAUGCAAGUCGAGGGGCAGCACAUGACGUAGCAAUACAGAUGGUGGCGACCGGCGCACGGGUGAGUAACACGUAUGCAACCUACCUUCCACAGGGCGAUAACCCGUUGAAAAACGGACUAAUAGUCCAUAAUACAGGGAUCCCGCAUGGGAAUAUUUGUUAAAGAUUUUUUCGGUAGAGGAUGGGCAUGCGCUCCAUUAGCUAGUUGGUUGAGGUAACGGCUCACCAAGGCAACGAUGGAUAGGGGAACUGAGAGGUUUAUCCCCCACACUGGUACUGAGACACGGACCAGACUCCUACGGGAGGCAGCAGUGAGGAAUAUUGGUCAAUGGAGGCAACUCUGAACCAGCCACGUCGCGUGAAGGAUGACGGCCCUAUGGGUUGUAAACUUCUUUUAUACAGGAAUAAAGUGAGUCACGUGUGAUUUUUGCAUGUACUGUAUGAAUAAGGAUCGGCUAACUCCGUGCC